Molecule: transfer RNA, 77 nt
Filed under: Bacillota bacterium
Lineage: Bacteria; Bacillati; Bacillota
Description: tRNA-Pro
Rfam family: tRNA
About the family: Transfer RNA (tRNA) molecules are approximately 80 nucleotides in length. Their secondary structure includes four short double-helical elements and three loops (D, anti-codon, and T loops).
Source: RNAcentral
CGGGGUGUGGCUCAGUUUGGUAGAGCGCUGCGUUCGGGACGCAGAGGCCACAGGUUCGAAUCCUGCCACUCCGACCA